AUAUUGCACAAUGGAGGGAACUCUGAUGCAGCAACGCCGCGUGAGUGAAGAAGGUUUNNNGAUCGNACAACUCUGUCAUUGGGNAAGNAUAAAUGACGGUACCCAAUGAGGAAGCCCCGGCUAACUACGUGCCAGCAGCCGCGGUAAUACGUAGGGGGCGAGCGUUGUCCGGAAUCACUGGGCGUAAAGGGUACGUAGGCGGCUAUAUAAGUCAGGUGUGAAAUACCAGUGCUUAACACUGGAAUUGCAUUUGAAACUGUGUAGCUUGAGUGCAGGAGAGGAAAGUGGAAUUCUUAGUGUAGCGGUGAAAUGCGUAGAGAUUAGGAGGAACACCAGUGGCGAAGGCGACUUUCUGGACUGUAACUGACGCUGAGGUACGAAAGCGUGGGUAGCGAACA
This 398-nucleotide ribosomal RNA is filed under the name uncultured bacterium. RNAcentral describes it as "partial 16S ribosomal RNA". It matches the Rfam family "Bacterial small subunit ribosomal RNA", at positions 361 to 774 of the family's 1533-position model. The record is from RNAcentral.